RNAcentral lists this ribosomal RNA (324 nucleotides) under uncultured eukaryote. RNAcentral's name for it is "partial 18S ribosomal RNA". It matches the Rfam family "Eukaryotic small subunit ribosomal RNA", at positions 1470 to 1796 of the family's 1831-position model. The record is from RNAcentral.
CCCUUAGAUGCUCUGGGCCGCACGCGCGCUACACUGGUCGAUGCAACGAGUUUCUUUCCUUGGCCGACAGGCCUGGGCAAUCUUUGAACAUCGAUCGUGAUCGGGAUAGAUUCUUGUAAUUUUUGAUCUUAAACGAGGAAUUCCUAGUAAACGCAAGUCAUCAGCUUGCAUUGAUUACGUCCCUGCCCUUUGUACACACCGCCCGUCGCACCUACCGAUUGAAUGGUCCGGUGAAAUCGCCGGACUGGCGUGAGUCGGAGCAAUCUGACAAACACCGGAAAGUUGAUUAAACCUUACCAUUUAGAGGAAGGUGAAGUCGUAACA